Molecule: non-coding RNA, 12707 nt
Organism: Callithrix jacchus (white-tufted-ear marmoset)
Lineage: Eukaryota; Metazoa; Chordata; Mammalia; Primates; Cebidae
Source: RefSeq, a predicted model, not a curated record
UUCUUUCUACCUCCUCUCUCAACUGCAUAUUCGUACCUCCAAAAGCAUAUUUUAUUUUCUUAAGAGAUAGCCUAUUUCUUCACUUAGGAUAAAAAAUUAAAGUUUUAAUUUCACAAUUAUCUAAUAUUCUUUACCCCAAAUAUCAAAUGAAGGUAAUGAAUUAUUUCUAGCAGUUUCCUCACCAAGCUCCAUAGUUAUUCUUAAAAACUACCUGAUAUGGUUUGGCUUCAUGUCCCACCCAAAUCUUAUCUAUAAUUGUAAUUCCCAUAAUCCCCAUGGUCAAGGGUGGGACCAAGUGGAAGUAAUGGGAUCAUGUGGGCACUUUCCCCCACGCUGUUCUUGUGAUAAUGAGUCUCACAAGAUCUGAUGGUUUUAUAAGUGUCUGACAUUUCCCCUGCUUGCAUUCAUUCUGUUUUGCUGCCCUGUGAAGAAGGUGCCUGCUUCUCCUUUGCCUUCCACCAUGAUUGUAAGUUUCCUGAGGCCUUCCCGGCAAUUCAGAACUGUGAGUCAUUAUACCUCUUUCCUUUAUAAAUUACCCAGUCUUAGGUAUUUCUUUAUAGCAGUGUAAGAAUGGACUAAUACACCACACUUCUAUUAUUAUGGCUUCAGGCUUGACCUGAACCCCUUUCCUUUAUCCUGCCAAUCCACAGUGGCAUGUGCGUUUUCUUUACCUUGAUAUCUCUUUUGAUUCUAUUCUCUUGUCUUCUUUUAAGACACUAUAUACUAUCCCUUUCUUCCCUAGCUACCUUUGCCAGGCAUGUAAAAUUUCCUUUCUUCCUUUUCCAUGCCCUGUGCUCAUGGUCAGCAAAACUAUCCCCAUACUUAGCCUUGACUGUUGGCUCCAUUUUGGGCAGAAUCUUAUCACUUAGGCCCUCCUCCAUACCAGGAAAAGAACUGGGUCACAAAUACAGUUGCCUUGGGGUUGCUGUUCCUGAGGAAUAUCUUUGUGGUGUUCUCUGUGUUUUCUGAAUUUGAAUGUUAGCCUGCCUUGCUAGGUUGGGAAAGUUCUCCUAGAUAAUAUCCUCAAGAGUGUUUUACAACUUGUUUUCAUUCUCCCCAUCACAUUCAUGUACUCUGAUCAAAUGUAGAUUAGGUCUUUUCACAUAAUCCCAUACUUCUUGGAGGCUUUGUUCAUUUCUUUUCACUCUUUUUUCUCUAGUCUAGCCUUCUCAUUUUAUUUCAUUGGGUUGAUCUUCAAUCUCUGAUAUCCUUCCUUCGGCUUGAUGGAUUCAACUAUUGAAACUUGUGUAUGCUUCCCAAAGUUCUGGUGCUGUAUUUUUCAGCUUCAUUAAGUUGUUUUGUUUUUCUCUAAGCUGGUUAUUCUAGUUAGCAUUUCAUCUAACCAUUUUUCAAGGCUUUUAGUGUCUUUGCAUUGGGUUAGAACAUGUUCCUUUAGCUCAGAGAAGUUUGUUAUUACCUACCUUCUGAAGCCUGCUUCUGUCAAUUCCUCAAACUCAUUGUCCAUCCUGUUUUGUUCCCUUGCUGGUGAAGAGUUGUGAUCCCUUGGAGGAGGAGAGGCAUUCUGGUCUUUGAUGAUUUCAUCCUUUUUGUGCUGGUUUCUUCCCAUGUUUGUGGGUUUAUCUACCUUUGAUCUUUAACAUUGGUGACUUUCAGAUAGGGUCUCUGAGUGGAUGUCCUUUCUGUUGAUGUUGAAGCUAUUUCUUUUUGCUUUUUCAUUUUCCUUCUAACAGUCAGGCUCCUCUGUUGCAGGACUGCUGGAGAUCCACUCCAGACCCUACUUGCCUGGGAAUCACCUGUGGGGGCUGUAGAACGGCAAGGAUUGCUACCUGUUCCUUCCUCUGGUAGCUUCAUCUCAGAAGGGUACCCGCCAGAUGUCAGCCAGAGUUCUCCUGUAAAAGGUGUCUCUUAGGAUAUAUGGGGGUCAGGGAGCCAUUUGAAGAGGCAGUCUGUCCCUUCUCAAAGGUCAAGUGCUGUGCUGGGAGCUCUGUUGCUUCCUUCAGAGCUGCUGGGCAGAGAUGUUUAAGUCUGUUGAAGUGGGACUCAAAACUGCCCCUUUUCCUGGGUGCUCUGAUUUGGGAAGGUGGGGCUUUAUUUCUAAGUCCCUGAUGGGCUGCGGCCUUUUUUCAGAGAUGACCUGCUCAGCAAGAAGGGAAUCUAGUCACAAUCUGCCUGCACAGGGCUUGCUGAGCUGCCAUGAGCUCUGCCCAGCUGCUGUGUAAACUUCCUUGUGAUUUUUUUUACACAGGUAAGGUUAGAACUGCCUCAGUAAUGGUGGAUGCCUCUCCCCCCUCCAAGCUUGACCAUCCCAGAUGGAGCUCAAACUGCUGUGCAGGCUGAAAAAAUCACAUGCCAGUGGGUCUCAGCUUGCUGGUCUUUGUGGGGAUGGGACCCGUCGAGUCACAUCACUUGGAUCCCUCCCUUCAGCCCCCUUUUUUUCGGGGGAAUGAAUGGUUCUGUCUUGCUGGUGUUCCAGGCAUUGGCUAAAACAGCUACCCAGUUCUGUGCUGGAAACCCAUGGUGCUGGUGUUUUUGGCACUGGUGAGAAUCUCCUGGUCUGCGGGCUCUAAAGACUGGGAAAAGAACAAUAUCUGAGCCAAGGAGCCUGAGCAUCCAGAAAAGUCCCCAGUGGCCUCCCUUAGAGAGGAGUGGGAGUUCUCUGGCCCUUUGCACUUCCUGGGUGAGGCAGCACCCCACCCUACCUUGGUUUGCCCUCCUAGGGCUAUACCCAUUGUCCAGCCAGCCCUAUUGAGAUGAACCUGGUACCUCAGUUGGAAAUGUGGAGGAGAUCACUCACCUUCUGCAUCACUCUCACUUGGAACUGCCCUCUGGAGCUGUUCCUAUUUGGCCAUUUUGGCAAAAGUCCCCAAGGCCUUUAAUUUAAAUUCUGGAUCUCAGGGAUCUGCGAGACUCCCCAUCACAUUCUCUCAGCUUCUGCUUGGGAUUCUUGUCUUUGGCAUUAGAGACAAUUUUUUCUCCCUAGGAAAUUUCAAAAUGCAAAUUACAAUAGAAACAACAACAGUAAAAUCAUAUAACAUCUAUUGAAAAUGAUGGUCUAAUCACUUUUAUGUGCAUUUUCCAAUUUAACACAACAACUUAAUGAGUGAGAUCGUAUCAGACUCUUCAUUUGAAAGAAGAGGAAACUGAGGAUUACAGUUGUAAAUUAAUUGCCUAAGAUCCACAACAAGCAUGUGUUGAACCUUGGAAUUGCAUCUAAUUCUGCUUGAUUACAAAGCCCAGCUCUUAAUUACUAGAAAUGUUGCCUCCUUCUUUGCUCCAUGAUUUAACAUUUCAAAGUGAUUUCUGAGAUGUACUGUUUGACUUCCUAUUAAUGCCAAAUUAGAGGUUUUUACAUUUAAAAACUUUUAUUUUUGGUAGAAUGUCACCAAGAAUGAAGGGCCAUGCAGUAAUAAUAUUUUCUAUUUUGUGCAGUGUUUUACUAUAUAGGACAUAUUUUCAGUAUUUGGCCCUCACAUGAAUUCUUUAAGGAUACCUAUUCUAAAGACGAAAAGUUUGAUUUUUGUGAAAUCGAGGAACAUGCCUAAGGUCAUGUGUGAAUGGCAAAAUUGAAACAUGGUUGUCUUUUGACAACCAUGCCAUUCUUCCUAAUGUAGCAUGGUAUGUUACUGCUUACCAGGACUAAAUGAUCCAAAGCAUCUCUGAUAUGAAAUUUCAGCUGUGUGCUAGCCCUGCUAUGUUCUGGAAUUGAUAAAAGAAUAAAGCAUAAGAAUAUGUGCACAGUUUUAUGUACACCAGAAUUCUAAUAAUGAUUUGAGGUUUUAUAUGCCAAGAAAAAGACUGGUGUCCUGUAGGACAUUCUGAAGAAUUCUUCCCUCAGUAGCCAAGACAAAGUGAACCUCUGAUGCUGAUGCCUUAUGACCACUCUACCUGCCAUAUCCUCUGUAUAUCAGAAAGCCAGUUUUCUGUAGGCUUCCUAGUGCAGUAUAUUCUGAUGGAGUAUUUGUUUCCAUCCCACCAGAUCUAUGGUAAAUUUCAUGUCAUAAAUUUUAUUUUUGUUUAAUGUUGAACUGCACUGUCAAAUAAUUUUAGUGGCAUCUUUAUUAGGGAUACAUCAGUUUUCACAACUGCUAUAGCAUGGCAAUAUAAUUUUCUGAGUAAGCCCCUUGAUUAAAGAGGGCUUUUUGGUGAUAUCACUUCAGGGUGAACAGAAAGUGUCAGCUCCUCAGUAAAAUCCAUUCAAUAACAAAUAUCACAGGCUGUACUUAUUAAUAGCUCUUGAUAUCCUUUGGUUGUGUCCCCACCCAAAUCUCAUCUUGAAUUGUAACUCCCACAAUUCUCGUGUGUCAUAGGAGAAACCCAGUGGGAGGUGAUUGAAUCAUGGAGGCAGGUUUCUUUCAUGUUCUUCUCAUGACAGUGAAUAAGUCUCAUGAGAUAUGAUGGUUUUAAAAACAGGAGUUUCCCUGCACAAACUCUCUUUCUGCUUGCCACCAUCCAUGUAAGAUGUGACUUGCUCCUCCUUGCCUUCUACCAUGUUUAUGAUGCCUCCCCAUACAUGUGGAACUGUAAGUCCAUUAAACCUCUUUUUCUUUUCAGUCUUGGGUAUGUCUUUGUCAGCAGAGUGAAGACAGACUAAUACAGUAAAUAGGUACCAGUAGAGUGGGGUGCUGCUGAAAAGAUACCUGAAAAUGUGGAAAUGACUUUGGAACUCGGUAACAGGCAGAGGUUGGAACAGUUAAAAGGGCUCAGAAGAUGAUAUGAAAAUGUGGGAAAGUUUGGAACUUCAUACAGACUUGUUGAAUGGCUUUGCCCAAAACACUGAUAGCAGUAUGGACAAUAAGGUACAGGCUGAGGUGAUCCAGCAUUGAAGACACACUGGUGAUACCUGCAAAUAAUGAAGAAGACAUACAUGAAAACUUAACACUUGAUAUUAUGUUGAUUUUCUACUCACCCACACGGGAAGUGUGACAAAAGUUUUCAGGAUUUCUAAGAAAUGUAAAAUAGGAAUAAAUUUACUAAAAACGCAGUGCAGUGGAAGGGAAACAUUUGAUGUAUCCUCCAGGUUUUCUUUUGUUUUGUUUUUGUAUGCACAUACUCAUUGUGUUACUGUUUAAAAGAGUUGGGAACUGAAUCAUGUCCAUAAUUUUUUUUGAAAUAGGAAAGACUUAAAUGCAAUGCCCCCUUUCCUGUCAUUCCACUAAAGAAAUCUGAGCCCAUUCUGCUUUUCUAGUUUGUCUUAGAGAGAGUUUGAUAAUGCCACAAGAUAAUAUAAGACAACAAAGAAAUGGGCCCAUUUGCAAAUCCCACCCAAGGUGAUCAAAGGUGUUUCAUUUUCUGUUGAUUGAUUUCUCAUCUGUUUCUAUUCUCUGUUUAAUUGGAGGAAUUGGCUGAGAGUACUUAGUGUCUAAACCUAUUAGAAUCAAUUCCAAAUUCUGUUUACCAAACUCAAAUGGGUACUCAGGCUCAUAGUCUUAAAAAACAAAAAAGCCUAGUAAGCCAUAAUUCUAACGAUGUUUCCUGGAUUAAGUAGUUUUCCUAAAAUUGUGCCAAAGUAGAGUCUCACAGACAUUUAUGACAUGGCCUAGUAGAUGCUUAUAGAGGUUUUAAUGCCUCAGUGGCCUGAAAGAAUGAGAAGACCUCUCCAAGUAGCUAAUUUACCACCUGCCUAACACCAUGUCCAUGACAGUUACACAGUCAGUUGAAAGAGAGCUAAAUUACCUCUUUGCUCACAAUCUCUGGUCAAACUGAUUGCAUCCCAGGUUGCAACAGCAUUAUAAAAAGAGAGGCUUAGAGGUUCAUAGAAUUGAAACUGUUAGUGAAAGUCAGCGUAUCUCAAAAUGACUGCUGGACUGUGUGGAUUCUGAAUAAAGAUUCUAGCAAAUUUAGAGGCUAGGAAUAAUGAGUAGAAGGCAUGUGAUGGGAAAAAGUUUGUCCUGUAGGUCUUCAUUUUCUGAUGUCGAAUGUGUACCUUGGCUGACUGGGCAACAAGGUCAAUAGAACCCAGGGGCUACUGUCUAUGGAGCCAUUGAGAAUUGAUGAGGAAAAAGCCAAUAUCUUUCCUUUCAGAGCUAUGUGAGAAGCUUUCCCCAGACUCCUUGACUUUUCACGUGGGCAGAUCAGCCAUGGCCACAGUAGAGGAGAUGUAUCAAGGUAGCAAAGCUUGUGGAUUCUGGAAUCAGAGAGCUUGGGUUCAAAUUCCAGCUGUGUGUCCUUGGAAGAGCCUGGAAGUCCUUUGGGCUACAUCAUUGUGACUGAGAAGAUAUGGGAUACCAAACUGCCCGCCCACAUAGGCUUGUGGGGUUUUACAUGAUUCAUUGGAAUAAUAAAGAGGAUGCGGCUAUGUUUAUACCUCCAGGUUGAUGACCUCCUGAAAGCAUAUAUCCCGUUAAGGAUGCAGGGGUGCCAGAAGAGGAAGGAACAGCUGUCUUGAGAGAGAUGGAGGAAGAGCCGCCUAUUUUGCUCCACUUGACUGAUGCCUAAAGGAAAGGGUGAGUCAAUUUCCCACUUCCCAUUAUAGCACUGCAUUUGCAGGUUUCCACCUUGACAGGCAGAAACAGUUCCAGCCAGUGCUAAUUUGGGUAACAUCUAAAAGGCUUGCCUGACAAGGCAGAUUCAAAUUAUGAAGCAAACCCCUCACAUACUGAGACCUUGUUAGCUAGAUUAGUAGUGGAUUGGCUUCUUGUGACAGCUUGUUUGCUAGAGGUGAGCUAUUUGCAUUUCCAAUGCAGGCAGGUUAUAUCAUCAUUUAAAGAAAAAAAAAAUAAAGAUGUCGUUUUUCUUGUUUGUCACGGAGUUCAUGUAAUAUUCCCUCUCGAUUUUCUCAUUGUUGACUUCAGAAGGAAAUAGCAGCAAGUGUGUACCUUUGAGUACGACAGCUAAUUUUGUUAUGGAUGAACAGAGUAUUGUGACAAAACAGUGGCACAGCUGUCAUAACAGCUGUCACACAUUAAUCAUGACAGUGACAAAUAGCAUAAUUACUUUAUCUGGAAUUCCUAGCAUGCACACUCAGUAUGCCCCACUGCCAAGCGAGCAUAUCACGCAUGGUUUAAUUAAAAAGACAUCAAUACAGGUUAGUUAGACAAGGGCUAGAAGACAUUGAUCCAAAAUGAAAAUAAAAUUAUUUAUAGGUUGGUGUUUAGGGACACCCAAAGACCAAUUACUUAGCCAACAUGAUAAUUUGAAACUAUUUCCCUAACUGGCCUUUCUCAAUGUGUACAUCACAUGAUGAGUUGUUGGCUGUUCUGCACCAAACUAGAAUUCCUCCAUUAAAUGUUUGAUCUCCUCUUUUUCCAGUCCCAGCAUGGGUCUCUGAGAGCCAUCUUUAUAUUCUGUUAUUUGAUUAAAGAGACUUUAUUGGUAAAUACUUGAUUAACAGUGAACAAGUUGUGGCCAACUUUUUUGUUAAUUUACCUUCCAAGGCAGAUACUCAGCAGACAGAAAAUAUUAAGCAAUAUGAUUUUUGUUUUAUAUGGAAAUUCUUCCUAAGAAUAAGGUGAAAUAAAGGCAGGUGAGACUGGGUUUGAGCCUAGAAAUGACAUUCUUUUACAUGUGCAGUGUUUUAAUAUAUGUACCUGUAUUCAUGUGCAUGUAUGUGUCACAUCAGUAUGCAUAAAUAUGCACCCAUUCCAAAUGUAUGUAUAUUUUUGCCCCCCUGGUAUUUUAAGCUCAAGAAUUCAUUGAGUUUACUGAUUGAAUUCCUGGGAGCUGGUUCUUGAAUUGCUCUGAAGCUGCCUCAAUGAAAUAUUAAUGAAUCAAUUUCCAUAGACAUGGACUCAUUAUCUUCCUGGAUGCCAUUGGAAAACACAGUCCUGCCUGCGGUGUCCUUCCACCUUCCUGUGACAUGAUUUGAUUUUUUUCUCUCUCUCUUUUAAUUAAAUAAAAAUAUUGCUAUCAGGAAAGUUUUGAUAACUUUGGAACAGACAUUUCCAUUUCUCUUGAUAGGUACCUAAAUGGAGGUAAGCCAUUUAAAAUAAAUUUAUGUACCACUUAAGUGAUAUAUUGAAAAGUAGGUCCGGAAACAAAGGAAGAGAUGGCCAGUUUAGUUCUGUGGUCUCUGCAAUGCCCUUUGGAUAUGAAAAAACUGCUCUUUCUCAGAACAACCAAUUUAUGAGAAAUGUCCAUAUUUUAGAAAGCCGAGUCAACCAUCUAAUUGUUUACAAAGUUAUCAACUUUAGAAAAUGUUACGAAACACAAACACAUUGUCACUUUAAUGUAGGACUGAUGGAAAGUAGAUGGAAUUAUUCAAGCUGUGUCUACAAAAUGCCAAAACAGCUGGUUAGAGCAUGAAAAAUUCAGUCAGUCAAACUGUGAUUAUUUGCAUACAACGCAAAUAGCUGGGUUUAGGUAUUUUGUUUUUUACUCACUGAAAUAUACUGGUUUCUAAUGCCUUACACAAGUCAAUCCAGGGGUGUUAAUAACGUGUCUUAAACUACAAUUAUACCAAGCAAAGUUUUUAGCUUCCUUCCUUUCCUUCAUUCUGUUCCAGUAAAGAUUAUUAUUGCCUGGUCUGCAUACCAUCAACACCCACUUUAUAGAAUUCUGAAAAGUCCACUGGUAAAUGGUUGCCAAAAUUGUUAGACAAAGACUAUGUUCUCAAAUUCAAUAGCUUUCAUCAUUUUCAUUUAGAACCAGGAGUAUAUCUGAAUGUCAUGUGAUCCAAAGAUAGUAUUACCAUUUCAACACAUACAUAUUAUUUGAUCUGAGAAUGAUAUUUCUAUUUCAACACAUAUUCUUUUAUGGAAAAAGUGAAAGCCCAAGCUUGGUCAAGUAAAUCUUUUAAUACUACACUAAGAAAAAGUUUUUCCAUCUUUGUUGAGAGAAAACCUGAUUUGUUAUUUGCUCGCUGUACUAACUCCAUUUCAAUCUAAAUCAUGGGGAUCCCACCUAUAAUUUGGCUACAGGUAUCUCCCGGCUAAUCUGAUAGAUACUGUGCUCCAGGUAUCAGGAAUACCUCAGAGUUGCUCCUGACUUAAAACAUUUUGAUUAAAGCUGUGAAAGAAAAACACAAGAGCAUCUGCACACAGUAUUUUUGCAUAUAAUGCCAAGGCACCCAUUAACUAUGCAGCUCAUCCAUGGAGCCCUGGAAUAAAUCCCUACUUUAGGUAUGAGCAGAGGCAGAAAUGACCCAGAACUGCUCUCAGAGGGUGGACACAAUUCUAGGUCUUUAUAGUGUCAGGGUUGGGUCCCUAUUUGAAACUACAGACAGAAUAUCAAGUUUCUUGAGAAUUAACCCAAGAAUACUUAUUCCACUGUGAGAUACUUAAGGUGUUAGUGAGGAAGAAUCCAUUUUAGAUCAACUCAUAACUGACAAGUAAGAGGAAAGUAAGAGCAGCUGUAGCCUUUUUUGGAUCAACGCUUUUGGAAGGAAUUCCCUCCCUCUCUUCACUGUCUAUCACGCUUUCUGUUUAAGGGCAUCUAUUUCUACAGUGCUUUGCUGCUUUGUAUGUGGCGUCACCAUAGUACAUCGUAAGCUCUUUGAAGGCUGAUUCUAUGUCUGAUUCUUCUUUUUGUUUCUCAUUGCACCUACGAUUGUCCCUACAUGGUGUAACUGCUGAGUAAAUAUGCACACGCGAAGUAGCAACAUGCUGGCUUUAAUAAUUAAAACAAAGGCCUGGAUUUUUCCCGAAACAUCCAGGUUGUUUCUUGAAUUUACCAUAUCAUGUGAUUGAAAUCUCUGAGAAGGUCAAAGAGCUUAUUUUUAAAACAAACAGAGGACAGUUUUAUUUCUCUUUUAUUUCCUGCUUGCUAAUAGAUGAACUGGCCUUUUUCAUAAAGACUGGAUGAUUUUUGUUGCUUCUAAUAGAGGAGCAAUAUUAAUCCACCGGCAUUUUUUUCCUAGACUUUCAUAUUUCUGACCGUCGCUGACCUUGAAGUGUAGCUUGUAUAUAUUAUACAUAACAAUAUUUUAUAAUACAAGAUUCCUGAUUGUACUGUGCCUUCUAAACUUGCUCCAUGUACCACUUAAUGAAAUCAAGUGGUAUACGUUUACCCACCUUGAAAGAAUUGGUGCAAGCCAAGCUUAUUAGCCUCCAUACCCCCAUCACUCCUUGGAUUUGUGGCCAGGUCUUUUAGUGUCUAUGCUUCAGAAUAUUUCAAUGGCACUUUCUUCCUCCAACAGUGACUAUCAGCAGGUUUUCCAUGUAAGAACUAGCAGCAGCAAUUGUGUUUAUCUCCCUGACUAAAAGGUUUUGUAUUUAUCUUCCCUGAGGUGGUGCCCAUGUGGCUGUCCUGAUACUGAGCAGCUGGACAGAUUAUACCCUGAAGCCACAUCUGCGAACACAUAGAUCAACACCAUGUUCAUUGCCUUGGUGCCCAAGAAGUUUAUCUUCUGUCAGUUAGAUUUGCUGCUUUCUUCAUGAAUUCUUAAGGCUUUCUCUCCUCCCAUAUUUCCUUUCCUUCUCCAUUUUUAUUUGAUUUCAAAGUAAAUUAGCAUAAUCUCAUCUGGAUUGUUAAUAGGCAAUUAGUUUGCUUUGGUUUCCUGCCAUUAUUAAAAAGUUUUUCCAAAAGGGCUUUUGUAGAGAGGACUGUUGGACAGUAAAGAAUAUAACGUAACUAUGUAGCAUGGAACAAAAUGACCUUAUUGGUGAGUAUGUACCUAAUAGGUCUGGUUUUAUUUGCCACACCUAAAUGCAUGGAAAAGACACUGCUUUAGACAUUGUCUCACAGAACUAAAUUUUAUUUACUGAUGUUGCAUCAGCUGUUAGAACAUAAUGUCUCAAACUUGUGUUAAAGCUUUUAAGUUUAUAAUACAUUUUUCACCGAUACUGUCGUCAGUGAGUCUCAAUAGAACCCUGUAAGGUAGGAGAGGGAGAAGUAAUGAUUUUUCAGUUUUACAGAAGAGAAUAUCAAAGUUCAAAUGGAUAAUAAAAUCACGAAGUCAGCUAUGAAACCAAGACUCAAAUCUGGGAAACCAGAUUUGCAUUUCAAUUUCUUCCCACUUACCUUCACUGCCACCUCCAAAUAAGUAUCCUUAGGAGACUGUCAUUUCGACUUUCUCAGGCGUUCUUUCACCUGUCUCAAUAUCUAAUACUGUUCUCAUUUCCAAAAUUCUAUGAUUUGCUGCCUGAAUUAUGACAAAUGAUGUAGAGGUUAAUGCAAAUUUUCUCUUCGUUUAUCUAAAUUGUAAAGUGAAGCAAAAAAAAGAAAAAAAAAAACAAGUGAGCUAGUCCUUUGGACUAUUGAUUACUUCAGUGGUUUUUCAAUACACACACACACACACACACACACAUUUGAAUUACCUAAGGAACUUUAAAAAUAAGAUGUCUGAAUCCAGCCUCCAAAGAUUCUGAUUUAAUUGCUCUAGAGUCGAUGUCCAGACAUGAGUAUUUUUUUUAAAGUUUCCCAGAUAAUUCUAAUGUGCAUUUAGUAUUGAAAACUGCUGGGAUAAUUUCUUCUCUUCACACCCCUUCUGUUUGAUUCUCUUUAAUUUUUCCUCCACCAACUUUUGAAAAAUACUUUGGUUUCUCACAUACAAUGAGAGUUCUGCAUCUUGGCCAACAUUAAUGGUGUAACUCUAAAUUUAGCAUCUAAAUAAGUGUGUGUGUGUGUGUGUGUGUGUGUGUGUGUGUGUGUGUGUGUCUGCUUUGGCUACCUUGAGAAGAAAGGGGAUAAUUAUGGAGAAGCGUGUUGUAGAAGGAGAUCAUGGGCUACAGAUAUCUGGUAGCAUACAUUUAUAAUCACUAGAAUGUAGACACCGCAGGGGCAGUGAUUUGGUCUGUUUUGGUCAUUGCUGUUUACCCAGCAUGUUAAAAAAUGCUUGGCACACAGUAGGCACUUAAUAGAUAUUCACUAGUAAAUAUUUCCCCACAUUCCCUCAACCAUGCUAACCCAGAACUAAUCGGAACCCCAUGAAGGGGAAUUCCAGUUUUGUCUCCACUUGGAACACUUGCCUCCCCAUCUCUUCCCAAACUCUAAGUCCUAUCUUCCUUUAAGACUAGCUUUAGUGAACUUUCUUUCACAAGACUUUCUGGUUCUCUUUUGAACUGUUUUAGGCAAUUAUUUAUAUUUCACUCAUCGCUGCUACUUCCCACUGCCUAUCUUGGGUAUAUUACAGUUUAUGUGGCUGUUUUGCUUUCUUCUAGACAUAACCCAUUUUAUCCUUGCACCUCUCCUAGUACACAAAGAAAUCUCUCAGUUAAUAUUUGUUUGAAUGAAUAACCAUUGCAUCUGGUAUGUGAAAUUCUUAUAUUACACAAUGAUGAGGGUUUAAAUAGCAUUUCAUAAUGUUUGAUUUUGUUUUAUGCUUUGUAUUUUUGAAAAUAGGCCUAUGUAUAUAUCUGAUUUGCUCCUCAACACAACCCUGGGAAAAGAAACAGAUGGACAUUAGUGUAGUAAAUGAAGAGAAACUAAGACAUGAAGAUGAUGUUAAGUGAUCUACUCAAGGCCUUGCCCUACCAAAGGCAGAGUGGAUAGUGUGGCUAAAUUUCCAGCUCUAUUUUUGCACACAGCUUUGCUAAGAAACAAUGAGUUUUACCCAGCAUGAGGAGAGCAAAGUGACAAUUUGCUUUUGUUAACUUCCAAAGUCCACACCUCUGCGACUCACUUAUAAAACCUAAGUCCUAUGCUUUUAGAUAGAAUACAAUUCAGUCAGCUCAGUUGUUGCUUUUUUGAUAGCUUAUACAUCAUGUUCUUCUUUCAGUGUAUUAUGACUUAAUUGUUUUAGUUUUCAUGAAACCUUCAAUUUGUUAACUUGAUCAAAAUAAUGCCAGAAAGGGAAAGGCACGUUUGUAACAAUUUGAACAGAUAAUAGCCAGGCUGUGAGAAGUACCACAUUCAAGGGAACAAGUAGAAAA